Non-coding RNA from Rhopilema esculentum, 5723 nucleotides. NCBI's taxonomy places the organism in Eukaryota, Metazoa, Cnidaria, Scyphozoa, Rhizostomeae, Rhizostomatidae. The record is from RefSeq and is a predicted model, not a curated record.
UCAUCUUGUAAACGAAAUAUUGUGUGUAGGAAAACAAGUUAGGUUUCAUAAAAUUUAUGAUCUCUACUCCAUCAAUUUCGCCAAUUCAUUCUGUGCUAUGUAGUUGGAUUCACUUUAGUUUUUAAGCUUAUCAUCAAAUAGAGAGUGUUCUUUUACAGCAGUUCCUUGUAAAAUAUGCAUAGUGUGUGCCCAACAUUUUAAAGUUUGUUAAGGUAAACUGGCAGCAGGGCGAACAUCCUCUGCUAAGAUUAUUUUGAAGUUCAAAUACUGCAUAUUUCAUUGCUAUAUAGAGAUUAUUUUUUCUAAUGACAAAUACCUAACCCUAACCCUAACCCUGACCCUGACCCUGACCCUAACCUUGUAUUUGGCCUUUAUCAGUUAUAAAUUAUCCGUACUACAUGAGAAUGAAACAAAAUGCAAGCAUCCAGUUUCGAAAAAUUCACAGUUACAGCUUUGCUUUUCAUUCGCACCAGGAGAGUCGAUAUACACGAAAGAAACCCAAGCUGGAGUACUGGUGGCGAUAUCUUUAAAAGCUUGCUGGGGCCACAGUUUUUUGCAAUUUUGCGUGAACAACUGCUAAAAGAAUUUAUUUGCUAUUAUCACUAUCAUUAUCAGUGGCGGAAGUUUUCUGCCCGCUUCCCUCGCAGGGGAUCCGCAAUUUCACUUCUUGGGCCUCUAUAACCUUGAACAUACCUAAUGCAAUAUUAACAACUAUAAAUAAUUACACAAACAAUUUAAGACAAAAUCAAAACUGCUUGUAAGUUCAAUAAUUAAUUUCAAUUCAGUAGAAAUUAGCUGAACUUUCCAUAGAUUACUUCAACAUUAAAGUUAUUUUCAAACGUAUUUCCCACCAAAGAGAACAAUGAAACUGGGUAGAAAAAUGAAAAAAUUAGAUAGAAAACUGCAAUGAUAAAAACAGAAAAUGCUUUGGCCCCAUUCUUCUUCGCUGUCUCUGUGACUGUUGAUCAUCGUCUGUUUACGAAAACUUUAUAAAAAGAACUCCUUAAUUUUAUUUUCUUUAUUGUUAAAGACAAAGAGUUUUGCGUUUCAGCUGCGUUUCUAGUGCCCAAUUCAAGCAGCUCUACAGUAAGUAGGGUGUCAAGCUAAAAAAUCACAGGGCCGAAUCCAGAAUUUCAGCAAAGGAGAGGUGUGCUGUCCGAGGGAGGCAACCCAAAAGGAGACAAAGCCCGCCCGAGAGGGGGUCUGGGAGUUCCAGCUGUUGCUUUAAUUGUAUUUAUUUAAAUCUUCACUAGCAAUACAACAUAGUGUGGUGGAACAGAUUUUUCUUUUAUGUCCCUUUUUCCUUCUAUUUUGUUACCGUUACUGAUUCUGUUCGUUCUAUUGACUCUCGAUGCAAUGAAGUAGACCAGGUUAAAUAAAAAUUUUGGGCAGUUAGCUCGAUAACGCUUCUCAUGAGUUUUCCUAAGUGUCCCUAGCAACCAAUAAAAAUGCAAGUGCCUCACCCUAAAUGAUUUUAAUUUUGAUAGUUGUGUAAACCUGUGAACUGCGAUUUUCUGUAUUCAAUGUCGAGUGAAUUGCGAAGGAGAGUAUCCCGGCAACCCCUGCAAAAUUUAAGCAAGCUUGCAAGAAAAAAUGGCGACGAAUGCUUUGAAAAUCAAAGGACACUUUAAAGUGCACACAGGACUGUUUCAUGAUUAUUUCAAAAUGCUUGAAAGAAGAUGUCAAGUUCUCUGGAAAUUGUUGAAAUUGAAGAGAACAUUACCUCAAGAAAGAAAGCAAUUAUCAAAUGAGCUGCCUAUAUAAUGCCUCUUAUUGGAAGACAUGCUGAUUUUUUCAUUAAGCCACUGGUAGGAAAGAUAAUUUAUUGGCAAGCAGUGACAGUGGGGAUUUCAGGAGAUGUUUCCUUCCUCCUUAGUUAAGAAAUGAAGCUGCCGAUGAAAUGUUUAAAGAAAUGAGAAAUAUUGAGAUGUUUAAAGAGUUGGAAGCCCAUUUUCUGGGUUGGUUAAUUGACGAAAGAGAGAUUGUUUGAUGAAUAUUUCAGUAUGCUUUAAAGAGGAUGAAAAAUCUCUGGAGAUUGUUGAAUUUGAAGAGAGCCCUAUCGAAAAGGAGAAGACAGUGAUCAAAAGAGAGCUGUAAAUUUUGUAUUUUUUGAAGACUUGCUGUUUCUCUUAUUCAACCAAAAGGAGGGGAGAUAUUUUGUUUGCAAGAGCUUACAGUCAGGACUUUGGCUAAUUGCAGAAGAGCGAAUCAUGAAGGUGUUUUGUUGCUCUUUUAUCUGAUUGUACGUCUUACCAAAGUUGAUUGAUGAAGUUGCAGGCUGGAAAUGAUUUAUGAGUUGAAAGCCCUUUCUCUUGGUUGGCUGAUAAAAAACGGAGAUUGUUCGAUGACUAUUUCAGUAUGCUUUAAAGAGGUUGAAAGAUCUCUGGAGAGUGUUGAAUUUGAAGAGAGCUUUAUCGAAAAGGAGAAGAAAGUGAUCAAAAGAGAGCUGUAAAUUUUGUGUUUUUUGAAGACUUGCUGUUUCUCUUAUUCAACCAAAAGGAGGAGAGAUAUUUUGUUUGCAAGUGCUUACAGUCAGGACUUUGGCUGACUGCAGAAGAGAAAAUCAUCAAGGUGUUUUGUUGCUGUUUUAUCUGAUUGUACGUCUUAGCAAAGUUGAUUGAUGAAGUUGCAGGCUGGAAAUGAUUUAUGAGUUUAAAGCCCUUUCUUUUGGUUGGCUGAUAAAAAACGGAGAUUGUUCGAUGACUAUUUCAGUAUGCUUUAAAGAGGAUGAAAAAUCUCUGGAGAGUGUUGAAUUUGAAGAGAGCCUUAUCGAAAAGGAGAAGACAGUGAUCAAAAGAGAGCUGUAAAUUUUGUGUUUUUUGAAGACUUGCUGUUUCUCUUGUUCAACCAAAAGGAGGAGAGAUAUUUUGUUUGCAAGAGCUUACAGUCAGGACUUUGGCUAAUUGCAGAAGAGCAAAUCAUGAAGGUGUUUUGUUGCUCUUUUAUCUGAUUGUACGUCUUACCAAAGUAGAUUGAUGAAGUUGCAGGCUGGAAAUGAGUUAUGAGUUAAAAGCCCUUUCUCUUGCUUGGCUGAUCAAAGAAACAGAGUAAGUGUUUUUUUACUGUUUGAAACAAGUUCCGUGAAUGAAGUUUUCCUCUAUAACGACUUUAAUUGAAUUUUGUGUUUUCUAUUGGUUUCUCUUUUGGUAGAAAUAAGAAAAAUAUUUUAUGUCUUGUUUCUUAGCUCUUCAUACAAACUAACAGAGGACAGGACUUAUACUUUCUUGAAAUUAUAAUGUGCCUAGGUUUAUGUAGAUGGCACCUGAAUUGAGGUGCUGUUUUUUUCUCUGUGAAGUUUUUCUAUCAGCGAUUCCAUCAAACCUGUUUCUUAAGGAUCUUGAAUUUAAUUUAAAGCCUUUUCUAUCAUCUUUGGGCUGUUUAUAUGUUUGUUUUUUAAGGUUUUUUAUUUAUUUUCUACAGGAUUGCUCGAUGACUAUUUCAGUACGCUUUAAAGAAGAUGAAAAAUCUCUGGAGAUUUUUGAAUUUGAAAAAGAGCCUUAUCGAAAAGGAGAAAACAAAGAUCAAAAGAGAGCUGUAAAUUUUUUGUUUUUUGAAGACUUGCUGUUUCUCUUAUUCGACCAAAAGGAGGAGAGAUAAUUUGUUUGCAAGUGCUUACAGUCAGGACUUUGGCUGAUUGCAGAAGAGCAAAUCAUGAAGGUGUUUUGUUGCUCUUUUAUCUGAUUGUACGUCUUAGCAAAGUUGAUUGAUGAAGUUGCAGGCUGGAAAUGAGUUAUGAGUUAAAAGCCCUUUCUCUUGCUUGGCUGAUCAAAGAAACAGAGAUUGCUCGAUGACUAUUUCAGUACGCUUUAAAGAAGAUGAAAAAUCUCUGGAGAGUGUUGAAUUUGAAAAAGAGCCUUAUCGAAAAGGAGAAAACAGUGAUCAAAAGAGAGCUGUAAAUUUGGUGUUUUUUGAAGACUUGCUGUUUCUCUUAUUCAACCAAAAGGAGGAGAGAUAAUUUGUUUGCAAGUGCUUACAGUCAGGACUUUGGCUAAUUGCAGAAGAGCAAAUCAUGAAGGUGUUUCGUUGCUGUUUUAUCUGAUUGUACGUCUUAGCAAAGUUGAUUGAUGAAGUUGCAGGCUGGAAAUGAGUUAUGAGUUAAAAGCCCUUUCUCUUGCUUGGCUGAUGAUCAAAGAAACAGAGUAAGUGUUUUUUUACUGUUUGAAACAAGUUCCGUGAAUGAAGUUUUCCUCUAGAACGAGUUUUAUUGAAUUUUGUGUUUUCUAUUGGUUUCUCUUUUGGUAGAAAUAAGAAAACUAUUUUAUGUCUUGUUUCAUAGGUCUUCAUAGAAACUAACAGAGGACAGGACUUAUACUUUCUUGAAAUUAUAAUGUGCCUAGGUUUAUUUAGAUGCCACCUUAAUUGAGGUGCUGUUUUUUCUUUGUGAAGUUUUUCUAUCAGCAAUUCCUUCAAACUGUUUCUUAAGGAUCUUGAAUUUAAUUUAAAGCCUUUUCUAUCAUCUUUGGGCUGUUUAUAUGUUUGUUUUUUAAGGUUUUUUAUUUAUUUUCUACAGGAUUGCUCGAUGACUAUUUCAGUAUGCUUUGAAGGAAGUGAAAAAUCUCUGGAGAGUGUUGAAUUUGAAGAGAGCCUUAUCGAAAAGGAGAAUACAGUGAUCAAAAGAGAGCUGUAAAUUUUGUGUUUUUUGAAGACUUGCUGUUUCUCUUAUUCAACCAAAAGGAGGAGAGAUAAUUUGUUUGCAAGUGCUUACAGUCAGGACUUUGGCUAAUUGCAGAAGAGCAAAUCAUGAAGGUGUUUUGUUGCUGUUUUAUCUGAUUGUACGUCUUAGCAAAGUUGAUUGAUGAAGUUGCAGGCUGGAAAUGAGUUAUGAGUUAAAAGCCCUUUCUCUUGCUUGGCUGAUCAAAGAAACAGAGAUUGCUCGAUGACUAUUUCAGUACGCUUUAAAGAAGAUGAAAAAUCUCUGGAGAGUGUUGAAUUUGAAAAAGAGCCUUAUCGAAAAGGAGAAAACAAAGAUCAAAAGAGAGCUGUAAAUUUGGUGUUUUUUGAAGACUUGCUGUUUCUCUUAUUCAACCAAAAGGAGGAGAGAUAAUUUGUUUGCAAGUGCUUACAGUCAGGACUUUGGCUAAUUGCAGAAGAGCAAAUCAUGAAGGUGUUUCGUUGCUGUUUUAUCUGAUUGUACGUCUUAGCAAAGUUGAUUGAUGAAGUUGCAGGCUGGAAAUGAGUUAUGAGUUAAAAGCCCUUUCUCUUGCUUGGCUGAUCAAAGAAACAGAGAUUGUUCGAUGACUAUUUCAGUAUGCUUUAAAGAGGAUGAAAAAUCUCUGGAGAGUGUUGAAUUUGAAGAGAGCCUUAUCGAAAAGGAGAAGACAGUGAUCAAAAGAGAGCUGUAAAUUUGGUGUUUUUUGAAGACUUGCUGUUUCUCUUAUUCAACCAAAAGGAGGAGAGAUAAUUUGUUUGCAAGUGCUUACAGUCAGGACUUUGUCUAAUUGCAGAAGAGCAAAUCAUGAAGGUGUUUCGUUGCUGUUUUAUCUGAUUGUACGUCUUAGCAAAGUUGAUUGAUGAAGUUGCAGGCUGGAAAUGAGUUAUGAGUUAAAAGCCCUUUCUCUUGCUUGGCUGAUCAAAGAAACAGAGAUUGUUCGAUGACUAUUUCAGUAUGCUUUAAAGAGGGUGAAAAAUCUCUGGAGAGUGUUGAAUUUGAAGAGAGCCUUAUCGAAAAGGAGAAGACAGUGAUCAAAAGAGAGCUGUAAAUUUUGUGUUUUUUGAAGACUUGC